Molecule: ribosomal RNA, 297 nt
Filed under: Cyclocaris sp. n. LJC-2013
Lineage: Eukaryota; Metazoa; Arthropoda; Malacostraca; Amphipoda; Lysianassidae
Description: partial 16S ribosomal RNA
Rfam family: Bacterial large subunit ribosomal RNA (bases 161-297)
Source: RNAcentral
GACGAUAAGACCCUAAAAGCUUUAUAAGGGUAUUUUAAGUUUUGUUGUGUAUGUAGUGGUUUAGCUGGGGUAGCUUCUUUGAGUACACCGAGGGGGUGAGAUACUCUGUAAGAGGAUAAUGGUCCUUUAUAUAAGGAUAAGCAGAGUUAGUUACUUUAGGGAUAACAGCGUAAUAAGUUCGGUGAGAUCGUAUCUAUGAAGUUGAUUGCGACCUCGAUGUUGAAUUAUAAGAUCUCUGUGGUGCAGUAAUUAUAGGAGAGGGUUUGUUCAACCUUUAAAAUUUUACAUGAUCUGAGU